Molecule: small nuclear RNA, 123 nt
Organism: Protobothrops mucrosquamatus (brown spotted pit viper)
Lineage: Eukaryota; Metazoa; Chordata; Lepidosauria; Squamata; Viperidae
Product: U4atac minor spliceosomal RNA
Exons: 1
Source: RefSeq, a predicted model, not a curated record
ACUGUCCUUAUCUUGAGGUUGUGCUAUUGUUCAAGGAAUGUCUAGUGAGAGCAGUACUGCUAACUCCUACACAAAAAUCAGCAUCCUUGGGGAUUGUUCCCCAAAUGUGUCAAGUUUGAUUCA